UACGUAGGGUGCGAGCGUUAAUCGGAAUUACUGGGCGUAAAGCGUGUGCAGGUGGUCUGUUAAGACAGGUGUGAAAUCCCCGGGCUUAACCUGGGAAUUGCGCUUGUUACUGGCAGACUAGAGUGCGUCAGAGGGAGGUGGAAUUCCACGUGUAGCAGUGAAAUGCGUAGAGAUGUGGAGGAACACCGAUGGCGAAGGCAGCCUCCUGGGAUGACACUGACGCUCAUACACGAAAGCGUGGGGAGCAAACAGG
Molecule: ribosomal RNA, 253 nt
Filed under: uncultured bacterium
Lineage: Bacteria
Description: partial 16S ribosomal RNA
Rfam family: Bacterial small subunit ribosomal RNA
Source: RNAcentral